RNAcentral lists this non-coding RNA (30 nucleotides) under Mus musculus (house mouse). Lineage: Eukaryota; Metazoa; Chordata; Mammalia; Rodentia; Muridae. The record is from RNAcentral.
UGGGAUUAAAGGCGUGUGUCACUACUACCU